AAAAAGUCGUAACAAGGUCUCCGUUGGUGAACCAGCGGAGGGAUCAUUACCGAGUUUACAACUCCCAAACCCCUGUGAACAUACCUUAUGUUGCCUCGGCGGAUCAGCCCGCGCCCCGUAAAAAGGGACGGCCCGCCGCAGGAACCCUAAACUCUGUUUUUAGUGGAACUUCUGAGUAUAAAAAACAAAUAAAUCAAAACUUUCAACAACGGAUCUCUUGGUUCUGGCAUCGAUGAAGAACGCAGCAAAAUGCGAUAAGUAAUGUGAAUUGCAGAAUUCAGUGAAUCAUCGAAUCUUUGAACGCACAUUGCGCCCGCCAGUAUUCUGGCGGGCAUGCCUGUUCGAGCGUCAUUUCAACCCUCAAGCCCAGCUUGGUGUUGGGAGCUGCAGUCCUGCUGCACUCCCCAAAUACAUUGGCGGUCACGUCGAGCUUCCAUAGCGUAGUAAUUUACAUAUCGUUACUGGUAAUCGUCGCGGCCACGCCGUUAAACCCCAACUUCUGAAUGUUGACCUCGGAUCAGGUAGGAAUACCCGCUGAACUUAAGCAUAUCAAUAAGCC
Molecule: ribosomal RNA, 559 nt
Filed under: Fusarium culmorum
Lineage: Eukaryota; Fungi; Ascomycota; Sordariomycetes; Hypocreales; Nectriaceae
Description: eukaryotic LSU rRNA
Rfam family: 5.8S ribosomal RNA (bases 198-351)
Source: RNAcentral